UACAGAGGGUGCAAGCGUUGUUCGGAAUUAUUGGGCGUAAAGCGCGUGUAGGCGGCCAGAUAAGUCCGCUGUGAAAUCUCGAGGCUCAACUUCGAGCUGUCGGUGGAAACUAUCUGGCUAGAGUCCGGAAGAGGAGAAUGGAAUUCCUGGUGUAGCGGUGAAAUGCGCAGAUAUCAGGAAGAACACCCGUGGCGAAGGCGGUCUCUGGAC
This 210-nucleotide ribosomal RNA is filed under the name uncultured bacterium. Its description in RNAcentral is "partial 16S ribosomal RNA". It matches the Rfam family "Bacterial small subunit ribosomal RNA", at positions 524 to 734 of the family's 1533-position model. The record is from RNAcentral.